RNAcentral lists this transfer RNA (69 nucleotides) under Trinodes hirtus. RNAcentral's name for it is "tRNA-Ser". Lineage: Eukaryota; Metazoa; Arthropoda; Insecta; Coleoptera; Dermestidae. The record is from RNAcentral.
AAGAAGAACGAAAACCAAAAGAAAGCUUCUAACUUAACUUUUUAGCAGUGUAACUCUGUUAGUUCUUCU